GGAGAGAUGGCAGAGUGGUCGAUUGCACCUGACUUGAAAUCAGGCGGUGCCGCAAGGCAUCCGGGGGUUCGAAUCCCUCUCUCUCCG
This 87-nucleotide transfer RNA is filed under the name bacterium. Its description in RNAcentral is "tRNA-Ser". It matches the Rfam family "tRNA". Rfam says of the family: Transfer RNA (tRNA) molecules are approximately 80 nucleotides in length. Their secondary structure includes four short double-helical elements and three loops (D, anti-codon, and T loops). The record is from RNAcentral. RNAcentral also lists the same sequence under 1 other name.